RNAcentral lists this ribosomal RNA (493 nucleotides) under uncultured bacterium. RNAcentral's name for it is "partial 16S ribosomal RNA". It matches the Rfam family "Bacterial small subunit ribosomal RNA", at positions 30 to 523 of the family's 1533-position model. The record is from RNAcentral.
AUUGAACGCUGGCGGUAUGCCUUACACAUGCAAGUCGAACGGUAACGGGUUAAGCUGACGAGUGGCGAACGGGUGAGUAAUGUAUCGGAACGUGCCCAGGCGUGGGGGAUAACUGCUCGAAAGAGCAGCUAAUACCGCAUACGACCUGAGGGUGAAAGCGGGGGAUCGCAAGACCUCGCGCGAUUGGAGCGGCCGAUAUCUGAUUAGGCAGUUGGUGGGGUAAAGGCCUACCAAGCCGACGAUCUGUAGCUGGUCUGAGAGGACGACCAGCCACACUGGGACGGAGACACGGCCCAGACUCCUACGGGAGGCAGCAGUGGGGAAUUUUGGACAAUGGACGCAAGUCUGAUUCAGCCAUGCCGCGUGCGGGAAGAAGGCCUUCGGGUUGUAAACCGCUUUUGUCAGGGAAGAAACGCUCUGGGUUAAUACCUCGGGGUAAUGACGGUACCUGAAGAAUAAGCACCGGCUAACUACGUGCCAGCCGCCGCCGUAA